RNAcentral lists this transfer RNA (43 nucleotides) under Metriorrhynchina gen. sp. DK0079. Its description in RNAcentral is "partial tRNA-Leu". Lineage: Eukaryota; Metazoa; Arthropoda; Insecta; Coleoptera; Lycidae. The record is from RNAcentral.
UGCGACAGAAUAGUGUGAUAAAUUUAAGAGUUAUUUAUAAAGU